Molecule: long non-coding RNA, 1706 nt
Organism: Dreissena polymorpha
Lineage: Eukaryota; Metazoa; Mollusca; Bivalvia; Myida; Dreissenidae
Exons: 2
Source: RefSeq, a predicted model, not a curated record
GAAUGUCCUUUCCGACACGUGCAGUUACAACAGUUGAGAGGUGCAGUGAACAGGAUGAGGGCGUGAAAACUUAACGUCUGCGACGGCGAGUUUCGGUACUGAAACAAGUAUUGAUAUUGCAAAGAUGUGGCCAAAUUUCACAGAAGCUCAACAAAACUAGGUAAGACAGUCAGGGGUGGCGAAAUCAAAUGUCCGAGUUGCCCGAGUCGUACAUUUGCUUGUCUGGGCAAAUGAUUUUUUUCAAUUAAGUUGUCCGUGGUUGUCCACGGACAACAAGUUUUUUUUAAGUCCCGUCCAGGUAUACAAAAAAAAUACAUUGUAUUAAAGCUGUAAUUUAAGUUUUACAACCGGAAGUUGACACGCGAUUACAUUGACAGUGCUAUUUGCAGAGCAAUCAAGCUAAAAUACGUGCACUCUCCUGCGCAGUGAUCACCCUUAUUCUAUAAGAGACUGGAGCAUGCCGCAUUUUCAACAUUCAGCCCGACUGUUAGACAGUGUACAGACUGGUUUCUUUAUUUUUACUAUCAGACAGAAAUAAAAAGUAUCAAACUAAGAUAAUCAAAACACGGUUUACCUUGUAAUUUAAGACGGCGUUAAUGGGUAAGAUGGAACAUUUUGUUUUUUUAAAUCUUCAACAACGGAGCAGAAACCCGAAGCUUUGAGCAGUCCACCUCCCCAAUUAACUAAGAAAGAUUAUGAUAAAAAUAUGAUCUAAGUAAACGCACCAGAACUUUUCGAGAAACUUGGCUAACAGAUUUUCAAUGGUUACCAGUUGAUGAUAAUCAAAUUGCUACCAGUAGCAUUGCAGAGCCUCAGUCUGAUGAGGUCCACAUAUUGGACUAGUUUAAUUUGUUAAGAUUACGAUGUACUUAUGUUCAAUACAUGUUUUAAUAACACUAGCUUUGCAAGAUUAAAAGUUUGAGGAAGUCUUUAUAUUGUUUAUAAUAUACUGCUAUAAUGAAUGUACCAUUGAAAUACAACUAUAAACAAAACAAGCAAAUCAUACUAAUUUUGAUAUAUUCCACAUUAUUUUACAUUAAUCAAUAAAUGCGUUCAUAAUUUAUAUAAACAAUUACGGACAAGUGUAGUUCAGCAACGGACAAGUUAAAUUUCCUAAAUGGCUGUCCGUGGACAAGUAUAGUUUUUUGAGAUUUCGCCACCCCUGACAGUUAGUUGUCAUAUUACUGUAUCAUAACUUUCAACUGUUGUAGUGUAACUUUGAACACAUGCACUUCAAAAAAUGUAUUACUUUUGGUCAAUUUAUGAUGACAAUACAAUGGGAAUCUCUAGGAAAAACUUGUGUGGAGAAAACAAAACUGAAUUUGACCAUUCAUAUUUGAAUGUUAAUUGUAAUGGUUGCACGAAGAUUUAAAUAAAAUUAUAAUAUUUUUACUGGAUAUGUAAAACCAUUUACAAAGUCAUGCGUUAUAUUUUAUGAGAAGUUCAUUACAUGGUGUUGAGCAAUUUAUUGUGUUAUAGUUUUCCUCUGAUUCUACCAUGAACACGAUUGUUUUUUGCAACAUCACAGAAAACGGGAUGAAAAUGUUUUUUUGUUUUUUUUAGAGAUAUCAAUAAUUAUACAUGUUAAUAAGGCAAAGUUCUGAUCAAUACACAAGUUCGCUCAAAGUGGCCAAGAUAAUGUGAUGAUCAUCUUAUGAUGGGAAUCUCUCUGCAAAAAUAUUUGAAGAGAAACAUAUCUGAUUAUA